GUUUUGCUUAAAGUCUACUAGUUUAGGCAGAAAUAUGAAAUUAAUAGUCAUGUCAUUAACGUGACAUUUAAGCUAUCAAUAUCAUGGAGCCACAAACUUUAGAGUCAGAUUAGGAAUAGGUGUAAGGAUAGAGUUAAAGGAAUUAAGUUGUGACUAGGAGAAUCUUUUAAAUGACAUGCUUGGGACUUUUUAUAAAAAAAUUUUCAGUUGUAAAUGGCCGCAAUAUCUUUUUAUGUAUUUAUUUUUAUGUUGAACCCAGUGCCUCAAACAUAUGAGGCAAGCUCUCUACCACUGAGCUACAGUCCCAGCCCCCAUGCUUGGGACUUUUGAGCACUUUUCUGGGUACAUAAAUCUCAAAGAAACUGGGUGUUAUGGCAAACACUUGUAGUCCCAGCUACUUGGGAGGUUGAGGUGAGAGGAUCAUUUAAGUCUCAGAAUUGGAGGCCAACUUGGGCAGCACAGCAAGACUCCUCUCUCAAAACACAAAACAAUUUGUGUAAGAUGUGUCAAAAUGCAUUCUACUGUCAUGUAUAACUAAUUAGAACAAAUAAAAAAAUACCCCCCCAAACAAAAUAAACAACUCAACACAUGACAUAAUCUUAUGAUUAACAAGUUUAAUCUAUAAUUAAAGCAGUUUAGAAAGACAUUUCCACAGUGUUAAAGCAUAGAUUAAACAGAUGCUGCUAAGUAGAACUAUCUAAUAUUAAAGCAAACAGAAUGCCCAUCUUUCUUUGGUUCCAGAGAGCUCAGUGGUACCAACUCCAGAAUUCUCAAUUUGUCCGUGAAUGUGGACAGUUAUUCCCAUACUCUAUACUCUCU
This 819-nucleotide long non-coding RNA is filed under the name Marmota monax (woodchuck). The record is from RNAcentral. Lineage: Eukaryota; Metazoa; Chordata; Mammalia; Rodentia; Sciuridae.